RNAcentral lists this ribosomal RNA (352 nucleotides) under uncultured bacterium. RNAcentral's name for it is "bacterial SSU rRNA". It matches the Rfam family "Bacterial small subunit ribosomal RNA", at positions 1037 to 1390 of the family's 1533-position model. The record is from RNAcentral.
GGUGGUGCAUGGUUGUCGUCAGCUCGUGUCGUGAGAUGUUGGGUUAAGUCCCGCAACGAGCGCAACCCUUAAGCUUAGUUGCCAGCAUUCAGUUGGGCACUCUAAGGUGACUGCCGGUGACAAACCGGAGGAAGGUGGGGAUGACGUCAAAUCAUCAUGCCCCUUAUGACCUGGGCUACACACGUGCUACAAUGGACGGUACAAACGGUUGCCAACCCGCGAGGGGAAGCUAAUCCGAUAAAACCGUUCUCAGUUCGGAUUGUAGGCUGCAACUCGCCUACAUGAAGCCGGAAUCGCUAGUAAUCGUGGAUCAGCAUGCCACGGUGAAUACGUUCCCGGGUCUUGUACACAC